AUUCGGGACUGGGGUGAAGUCGUAACAAGGUAACCGUAGGGGAACCUGCGGUUGGAUCACCUCCUUACCUUAAAGAAGC
Molecule: ribosomal RNA, 79 nt
Filed under: Escherichia coli
Lineage: Bacteria; Pseudomonadati; Pseudomonadota; Gammaproteobacteria; Enterobacterales; Enterobacteriaceae
Description: partial 16S ribosomal RNA
Rfam family: Bacterial small subunit ribosomal RNA (bases 1-67)
Source: RNAcentral